CAUGGUGACUUGUAAGCAACUCACUGCACUUAGGCACUGAACUACCUGAAUUUCUAAUUCAAUGACGGAAGGCUGCUGGGUGUAGUCAAGUACUUGACUUGUCGGUGCGUGUCAAGAUGGGAUUGACCACUCCAGUUUAGGAGCUGUGUACAGUUGUGUUUCAAUUUAGCAAAAUCUUGGCCAGGGUAGUCCUUGUGAGGAGUCACAGGACUGUUUGAGUUGAGC
Molecule: long non-coding RNA, 225 nt
Filed under: Elaeis guineensis (African oil palm)
Lineage: Eukaryota; Viridiplantae; Streptophyta; Magnoliopsida; Arecales; Arecaceae
Description: long non-coding RNA (EGUI_LNC052956)
Source: RNAcentral